AAAAUGUUGGUCUCGUGCCAAAUCACACCUGUGUGCCACUAUUGUCUGUAUUUGGUAGUCUAGGAGGGGCGACCCGCAAGGGCCUGCCCAUAUACUCCGUGACCCAGUCAACUUUUAGUUGGUUGGUGUCGGGCUACCGCCAUUUUGAAAAACCUUUUGUUUGUUUUGUUUUGUCUGAACGAAGAGUUAAUCUUCAUUGAUUAAUGAUUUGAAUA
This 215-nucleotide unclassified non-coding RNA is filed under the name soil metagenome. RNAcentral's name for it is "partial internal transcribed spacer 1". The record is from RNAcentral.